This 109-nucleotide ribosomal RNA is filed under the name Propithecus coquereli (Coquerel's sifaka). Lineage: Eukaryota; Metazoa; Chordata; Mammalia; Primates; Indriidae. The record is from RNAcentral.
GUCUACAGCCAUACCACCCUGAACGCAUCCAAUCUCGUGUGACAUUGGAAGCUAAGCAGCGUCGGGCCUGGUUAGUACUUGGAUGGGAGAAAUGCAUUUGCUGUAUUCA